AAGAAGUCAUGUUCAUUAUUGAUGCUACUAAAAAGGAUAAACAAAACAAAACUAGAAAGGAGGAUGAAAGUCAUAUAAAUUUUCUCUUAGAGAUUCAUAAUUCAUAAAAGUAUAUGCAAUGGUCUGUAACACUAUUAGUUGUCAUGAUCUGCACAGCUGUUUAUUCAGGUUGCCUAACUAGGAGGUGAAGGGCUUGAGAAAAGACAAACAAAUACACAAAUAGAGAAAAAGCCGGGACACAGUACUUCAGUCAACCUCUGAUGGGGGAAGACUAACCAUGAGCAAGCGUGACAUAUUUACUAUAUAUGUAUGUUUAAACAUCAAAAGGAUUUAUUGUUAGAAAGUUUUUUCAAAGCAAGCAGAAUCAAGGUCAUGAGUAUGAGCAGCCUGAUUAUGAGUAUCAGCUUGUGCCCAUAACUUUCUACCUCCCCAAGCAGUGGGCAUCUAAACCUCAAGGAUAAAAACUGAAGAGCUUCAUGGUUGGCACAGAACCUCCAAUUGAACAGGGCAUCACCAUAGCAACUGGGCUAUCUCAAUGAAUGGCGUCACACUGAGAGUUCUCCAGAGGGGCAUCAUCGCCUCUGUCACAGGACAGUUCAGGACCCAUAAUUAAGUCGCUGCUCCCAACAAUGAGUAUAUCUUUUUAAAGAAGUUUAACAUCAAUGUAGCAUUUCCAAAACUCAUGUGGGAGAGGAAUUUAACUGGAUGUUCCUCUUUUAUUAAAGAAGUUUACUUUUAUUUAAAAAACCAUUGAUGCAACACAAAAGUAAUACAAUGUUUUAAAAAAUAGCAAGAUAAAUAUUACUUCAUACAAAAGGUCUCAGUCAAAAAUCUUUUAAAACAGAUUUUUCAUUAGUAUAUUGAAGGAAAUACACUUCAGGAUUAAGAUAAUCAUAUUAUUUUUAAAUCAACAGAAAAUUCUACAUACUUCUGAGGUACCAUAUGAAGAUUAAAUGUAUGUAUAUAUUGUGUGAUGUUCAAAUAAAGGUAAACAGAUCUAUUUCAUCA
RNAcentral lists this long non-coding RNA (1008 nucleotides) under Marmota monax (woodchuck). The record is from RNAcentral. Lineage: Eukaryota; Metazoa; Chordata; Mammalia; Rodentia; Sciuridae.